CAAUCGGUCCUUUUCAGGGCCACCAUUUAGUAAUGAAAAGAUAAU
This is a non-coding RNA of Daphnia pulex (common water flea), 45 nucleotides long. The record is from Rfam. NCBI's taxonomy places the organism in Eukaryota, Metazoa, Arthropoda, Branchiopoda, Diplostraca, Daphniidae.